UGCUGCAGGGAAACACAUAGAAAGGAGGUUCAUCAAGAACUUACGGAAUAUGUGAAGCUGCGUAAAAGAUGAGGGCAGGCCCCUCGGUGUCGGCUAUCAGGAGCAGGCACCAAACCAGCCCAAGCCGCGUUCGUCAUUUUGGUUGCCUCUGUUGCACAACCU
Molecule: unclassified non-coding RNA, 162 nt
Filed under: uncultured fungus
Lineage: Eukaryota; Fungi
Source: RNAcentral